RNAcentral lists this ribosomal RNA (2931 nucleotides) under Enterobacter hormaechei. RNAcentral's name for it is "23S ribosomal RNA". It matches the Rfam family "Bacterial large subunit ribosomal RNA". Lineage: Bacteria; Pseudomonadati; Pseudomonadota; Gammaproteobacteria; Enterobacterales; Enterobacteriaceae. The record is from RNAcentral.
GGGUUGUGAGGUUAAGCGACUAAGCGUACACGGUGGAUGCCCUGGCAGUCAGAGGCGAUGAAGGACGUGCUAAUCUGCGAAAAGCGCCGGCGAGGUGAUAUGAACCUUUGACCCGGCGAUGUCCGAAUGGGGAAACCCAGUGCAAUCCGUUGCACUAUCGUUAACUGAAUACAUAGGUUAACGAGGCGAACCGGGGGAACUGAAACAUCUAAGUACCCCGAGGAAAAGAAAUCAACCGAGAUUCCCCCAGUAGCGGCGAGCGAACGGGGAGCAGCCCGGAGUCUGAAUCAGCUUGUGUGUUAGUGGAACGGUCUGGAAAGUCCGACGGUACAGGGUGAUAGUCCCGUACACGAAAGCACACAUGCUGUGAACUCGAAGAGUAGGGCGGGACACGUGGUAUCCUGUCUGAAUAUGGGGGGACCAUCCUCCAAGGCUAAAUACUCCUGACUGACCGAUAGUGAACCAGUACCGUGAGGGAAAGGCGAAAAGAACCCCGGCGAGGGGAGUGAAAAAGAACCUGAAACCGUGUACGUACAAGCAGUGGGAGCCUCUUUAUGGGGUGACUGCGUACCUUUUGUAUAAUGGGUCAGCGACUUAUAUUCUGUAGCAAGGUUAACCGUAUAGGGGAGCCGAAGGGAAACCGAGUCUUAACUGGGCGUUAAGUUGCAGGGUAUAGACCCGAAACCCGGUGAUCUAGCCAUGGGCAGGUUGAAGGUUGGGUAACACUAACUGGAGGACCGAACCGACUAAUGUUGAAAAAUUAGCGGAUGACCUGUGGCUGGGGGUGAAAGGCCAAUCAAACCGGGAGAUAGCUGGUUCUCCCCGAAAGCUAUUUAGGUAGCGCCUCGUGAACUCAUCUUCGGGGGUAGAGCACUGUUUCGGCUAGGGGGCCAUCCCGGCUUACCAACCCGAUGCAAACUACGAAUACCGAAGAAUGUUAUCACGGGAGACACACGGCGGGUGCUAACGUCCGUCGUGAAGAGGGAAACAACCCAGACCGCCAGCUAAGGUCCCAAAGUCAUGGUUAAGUGGGAAACGAUGUGGGAAGGCACAGACAGCCAGGAUGUUGGCUUAGAAGCAGCCAUCAUUUAAAGAAAGCGUAAUAGCUCACUGGUCGAGUCGGCCUGCGCGGAAGAUGUAACGGGGCUAAACCAUGCACCGAAGCUGCGGCAGCGACACUAUGUGUUGUUGGGUAGGGGAGCGUUCUGUAAGCCGUUGAAGGUGUGCUGUGAGGCAUGCUGGAGGUAUCAGAAGUGCGAAUGCUGACAUAAGUAACGAUAAAGCGGGUGAAAAGCCCGCUCGCCGGAAGACCAAGGGUUCCUGUCCAACGUUAAUCGGGGCAGGGUGAGUCGACCCCUAAGGCGAGGCCGAAAGGCGUAGUCGAUGGGAAACAGGUUAAUAUUCCUGUACUUGGUGUUACUGCGAAGGGGGGACGGAGAAGGCUAUGUCAGCCGGGCGACGGUUGUCCCGGUUUAAGCAUGUAGGCGGAGGUUCCAGGUAAAUCCGGUACCUUGUUAACGCUGAGGUGUGAUGACGAGGCACUACGGUGCUGAAGUGAUAAAUGCCCUGCUUCCAGGAAAAGCCUCUAAGCAUCAGGUAACACGAAAUCGUACCCCAAACCGACACAGGUGGUCAGGUAGAGAAUACCAAGGCGCUUGAGAGAACUCGGGUGAAGGAACUAGGCAAAAUGGUGCCGUAACUUCGGGAGAAGGCACGCUGAUGUGUAGGUGAAGCCCCUGCGGGCGGAGCUGAAAUCAGUCGAAGAUACCAGCUGGCUGCAACUGUUUAUUAAAAACACAGCACUGUGCAAACACGAAAGUGGACGUAUACGGUGUGACGCCUGCCCGGUGCCGGAAGGUUAAUUGAUGGGGUUAGCGGCAACGCGAAGCUCUUGAUCGAAGCCCCGGUAAACGGCGGCCGUAACUAUAACGGUCCUAAGGUAGCGAAAUUCCUUGUCGGGUAAGUUCCGACCUGCACGAAUGGCGUAAUGAUGGCCAGGCUGUCUCCACCCGAGACUCAGUGAAAUUGAACUCGCUGUGAAGAUGCAGUGUACCCGCGGCAAGACGGAAAGACCCCGUGAACCUUUACUAUAGCUUGACACUGAACACUGGUCCUUGAUGUGUAGGAUAGGUGGGAGGCUUUGAAGCGUGGACGCCAGUCUGCGUGGAGCCAACCUUGAAAUACCACCCUUUAAUGGCUGGUGUUCUAACGUAGACCCGUAAUCCGGGUUGCGGACAGUGUCUGGUGGGUAGUUUGACUGGGGCGGUCUCCUCCCAAAGAGUAACGGAGGAGCACGAAGGUUGGCUAAUCCUGGUCGGACAUCAGGAGGUUAGUGCAAUGGCAUAAGCCAGCUUGACUGCGAGCGUGACGGCGCGAGCAGGUGCGAAAGCAGGUCAUAGUGAUCCGGUGGUUCUGAAUGGAAGGGCCAUCGCUCAACGGAUAAAAGGUACUCCGGGGAUAACAGGCUGAUACCGCCCAAGAGUUCAUAUCGACGGCGGUGUUUGGCACCUCGAUGUCGGCUCAUCACAUCCUGGGGCUGAAGUAGGUCCCAAGGGUAUGGCUGUUCGCCAUUUAAAGUGGUACGCGAGCUGGGUUUAGAACGUCGUGAGACAGUUCGGUCCCUAUCUGCCGUGGGCGCUGGAGAAUUGAGGGGGGCUGCUCCUAGUACGAGAGGACCGGAGUGGACGCAUCACUGGUGUUCGGGUUGUCAUGCCAAUGGCACUGCCCGGUAGCUAAAUGCGGAAGAGAUAAGUGCUGAAAGCAUCUAAGCACGAAACUUGCCCCGAGAUGAGUUCUCCCUGAGACUUUAAGUCUCCUGAAGGAACGUUGAAGACGACGACGUUGAUAGGUCGGGUGUGUAAGCGCAGCGAUGCGUUGAGCUAACCGAUACUAAUGAACCGUGAGGCUUAACCUUACAACGCCGAAGCUGUU